AUAUGUAGCACGGAACAUACCAGCAGAGAUAUCGGGAGCCCUGUACAGGGAGCUAGCGUCGUUGCAUCCCGUCACCCACAUUGGCCCAUCACCGGCAUUAAUCCAUCCACAGGUACCUGAUCGAAACGUACAAGAAAGGAAGCCAUCGCUCUCUCCUAAAAAUUAAACAAGAGGUCGUCUUAAGAGUUAUGACUGUUUUUCAGCUGUCAUAGUAUAGUUUUCUUCGUUUCCUGCUUCGAUCGGGAAUUUGUGGUCAUGGCCAUCACACCCGACUGAUGCCAAGCGGCAACAAUCUUGAGCCUUAACUGCAAACACACACGAACGGCAACUAGAGUGCUUCCGUCUUUGUCACUUUUCAAAUGCACCACCUACCCGGAAAUAUUCCAUGGGCUCCAGAGUUAACGUCACGUGCUGGCUAGUUUCGUAACGGCCGUUAUUCGUUAGCGCCCAAAUUUCUUCCCAGUUACCACUGGCUGAUUGAAUAUACAUGUGGGCAUUAGGGAGAUGGGCUCUGACAGCAAAUGAUGCCCGUUUAAACCGUAGCUGUCUCGCGUCGGAGUGCGGGCGAUUCCACUGGCACCUGCGGCACAAUUCGACCGUGCGGUAGCCGUUGAUGGAGUCUCGGAUUUCCCAUGCCCCAUCCGGACGAGUCCAUCCGCAAUAGUUGGUGUUAAACUGGCACGAAACCUUAGCUUCUGAUUCCGAAAUGCGUAGCAGCACCACUGAAACGAAAUUGACAUGCACAAUCGACUGCGACUUCCACUCAUUCGUUCUAUUCUGUACACCGGAGCUCUAGAACUUUUGUAUGGUUUUUCUUACCUGCUAGAAAAAAGGUCAACAGCCAGUGGAGCGCCAUUUUUAAAAUUUUGUUUGGUAUAGAAAGAAUUCAAAUUUUUUCCAUAUGCCAGAAUCUGUGGUGCCAUGUAAAUUAAGCGCUUGAACAAUGCUGAUGGAGAAACUGGACUUUUUUCUGUCGUAUCGGUACGGCAUCGAUAAGAUAACU
Molecule: long non-coding RNA, 1003 nt
Organism: Paramacrobiotus metropolitanus
Lineage: Eukaryota; Metazoa; Tardigrada; Eutardigrada; Parachela; Macrobiotidae
Exons: 4
Source: RefSeq, a predicted model, not a curated record